Molecule: small nuclear RNA, 29 nt
Filed under: Arabidopsis thaliana (thale cress)
Lineage: Eukaryota; Viridiplantae; Streptophyta; Magnoliopsida; Brassicales; Brassicaceae
Description: snRNA_14981
Source: RNAcentral
UGAAUUAUAAUUACCACCGAGCGGCGGGU